UCUCUAUGAUGUUUCAGCUGGUAAUACGAGAGAAGCUUUGAGCAGGUUCUAGAAUUGUCUCACUGUUCCGGUAAACCUUUUCAGAGCAUUCCAUGCUUCAAGUGCGCCCGUAGAUGUUUUAUACGCCACACAGAGAUAUCGUGAUGACCAUGAACAUGAUGCGAGAUCCAUAUUGUGAGAUUUGCACCAGACUGUUCCA
This 199-nucleotide long non-coding RNA is filed under the name Elaeis guineensis (African oil palm). Its description in RNAcentral is "long non-coding RNA (EGUI_LNC007874)". The record is from RNAcentral. Lineage: Eukaryota; Viridiplantae; Streptophyta; Magnoliopsida; Arecales; Arecaceae.